Molecule: unclassified non-coding RNA, 243 nt
Filed under: Hevea brasiliensis (rubber tree)
Lineage: Eukaryota; Viridiplantae; Streptophyta; Magnoliopsida; Malpighiales; Euphorbiaceae
Source: RNAcentral
UGCUUCUUCUUCUUUUUCAUCCUCUUUCGGAACUAUUAUUUCCUCCAACAUAUGGCAUCUCCUUAUGUCUAGUUCUUGGAGUUGUACAAGACACUUAGCCACGGCAACUGAUAAUAUGUUUCUCAAACUGUUGCAACCACGGACAUUUAGCUUUCUCAGCUUCUGAAAGCCAAUGACAUUUUUUGGAAUUUUGUUGAAUAUGUGCACAAGUUUUGGUAGGUUUGAUAGCCAGACUUCUUCAAG